This 497-nucleotide ribosomal RNA is filed under the name uncultured bacterium. RNAcentral's name for it is "partial 16S ribosomal RNA". It matches the Rfam family "Bacterial small subunit ribosomal RNA", at positions 28 to 507 of the family's 1533-position model. The record is from RNAcentral.
GAUGAACGCUGGCGGCGUGCCUAAUACAUGCAAGUCGAGCGAACAGACGAGGAGCUUGCUCCUCUGACGUUAGCGGCGGACGGGUGAGUAACACGUGGAUAACCUACCUAUAAGACUGGGAUAACUUCGGGAAACCGGAGCUAAUACCGGAUAAUCUAUUGAACCGCAUGGUUCAAUAGUGAAAGACGGUUUUGCUGUCACUUAUAGAUGGAUCCGCGCCGCAUUAGCUAGUUGGUAAGGUAACGGCUUACCAAGGCAACGAUGCGUAGCCGACCUGAGAGGGUGAUCGCCCACACUGGAACUGAGACACGGUCCAGACUCCUACGGGAGGCAGCAGUAGGGAAUCUUCCGCAAUGGGCGAAAGCCUGACGGAGCAACGCCGCGUGAGUGAUGAAGGUCUUCGGAUCGUAAAACUCUGUUAUUAGGGAAGAACAAAUGUGUAAGUAACUAUGCACGUCUUGACGGUACCUAAUCAGAAAGCCACGGCUAACUACGUG